CUCUUUGAAAUUACAAACUCCAGUUUGUGGACAAAGUCCUGUCUACUUUAGUAUAUGGAUCUCCGACCACUGACCAAACUCCAAAUGAAACAACAGCCUAUUUAUACUUUCUCAGACUCACUGUUAUGCUUAUUCUCAGUCUGUACUAUUGGUGAACUUUGAGGAGCAGAGAAAAUUGCUGCAUGGCAAUUCACCUUUUGGAAACUCGGAUCUAAUGCAUCUGACUGAAGUAUUACAGAAAAAAAAAAUGUAGAACUGGGAAACUGUUCAUGGCCCAUCAUACAAAAGUGAGUGGGAGCCAGGACUUGGCACAAGAGGUGGGAGAUUUCAAAAAGAGGACAACUCUUUCCACCCAGAAUCAAUCUACUUGAAGAGUUAGAGUCUUCCACUGGAAAGUUGAAUUAGGCUGAAUUACUCUUUCUGAUCAACAUGGAUACGAUGGGCAGAAUGGCCUCCUGCUGUGUGGACGUGGGCACUGCUGCCUGAACCAACAAUGAUUCCACAUCUGUAGUUGCUGUCCACUGAAGGGCAAAGUGAACUGGUUUCUUGAAAUGUUGCAGUUAAUGUGAUAAGUCUACCAUCACAAUGUAGUUAGGAUGCAAAUUCCAGGAUUUUCACUCAGUGUUGAUGAAGUGACCAUGUUAUCUCCUAGCUGGGUAGUAUGUGACCUGGAAAUAGCGCUCCAAUACACAUUGGUAGUCAUGGAAGGUGCUAAAAACAAAGCUCAUGUGACUUGUUGUAAUGCCUCCUGUAGAUGGUACACACUAUCAACUAUUGUAUGGAGGUGUAAAGAGAAUAGAACUUUAAGCCACUGGAUGUUUUUAUAUUCAUUUUUGGGCAAUUCUCCCAAUCAAAAUUGAGUUUAAAGUUGGUUGAAAUUUUAAAAACAGAUUGAGUUUUGUUAGAGAUGUGAAUCAAGGGCUAAAGAACCAAAUAAUACUUCGACGUAACAAUUUUUGUUUAGUCAUAGGAAGUCACGAAAUGCAAUUUUGGAGGCAGAGUACAGCAUACAUUAACUUAUGUGAUCAAGAACAAAUUUCUCUACACAUUCUAACUGAAUAGUGGAAUAGCCAGGUGUGGAUGAAUAGCCUUUAUGAUUAUCUGUACAUGAUUUUCCCUGUUAAGCAAAGGAACUGUGACACUAUGUCCAACCUGUUCAAAUGUGGAAAGUUUAUCAAUACGUUAAAUGUAUUUACAAUAUCAAUCUAUAAUACUUUCCAAAUCUUCUGAGAGAAGUACAAAUAAACCUACUUUCAGAUAAACCUUGG
Pristis pectinata (smalltooth sawfish) is the source of this 1268-nucleotide long non-coding RNA. RefSeq lists it as uncharacterized. The transcript is spliced from 4 exons. NCBI's taxonomy places the organism in Eukaryota, Metazoa, Chordata, Chondrichthyes, Rhinopristiformes, Pristidae. The record is from RefSeq and is a predicted model, not a curated record.